Molecule: ribosomal RNA, 253 nt
Filed under: uncultured bacterium
Lineage: Bacteria
Description: partial 16S ribosomal RNA
Rfam family: Bacterial small subunit ribosomal RNA
Source: RNAcentral
UACGUAGGGUGCGAGCGUUAAUCGGAAUUACUGGGCGUAAAGCGUGCGCAGGCGGCGCGUUAAGACAGGUGUGAAAGCCCCGAGCUUGACUUGGGAAUUGCGCUUGUGACUGGCGUGCUGGAGUGUGGCAGAGGGAGGUGGAAUUCCACGUGUAGCAGUGAAAUGCGUAGAGAUGUGGAGGAAUACCGAUGGCGAAGGCAGCCCCCUGGGAUAACACUGACGCUCAUGCACGAAAGCGUGGGGAACAAACAGG